UGGGGAAUUUUGGACAAUGGGCGCAAGCCUGAUCCAGCAAUGCCGCGUGCAGGAUGAAGGCCUUCGGGUUGUAAACUGCUUUUGUACGGAACGAAAAGCCUCUCUCUAAUACAGGGGGGUGAUGACGGUACCGUAAGAAUAAGCACCGGCUAACUACGUGCCAGCAGCCGCGGUAAUACGUAGGGUGCAAGCGUUAAUCGGAAUUACUGGGCGUAAAGCGUGCGCAGGCGGUUUUGUAAGACAGUGGUGAAAUCCCCGGGCUCAACCUGGGAACUGCCAUUGUGACUGCAAGGCUGGAGUGCGGCAGAGGGGGGAUGGAAUUCCGCGUNUAGCGUGAAAUGCGUAGAUAUGCGGAGGAACACCGAUGGCGAAGGCAAUCCCCUGGGCCUGCACUGACGCUCAUNCACGAAAGCGUGGGGAGCAAACAGAUUAGAUACCCUGGUAGUCCACGCCCUAAAACGAUGUCAACUGGUUGUUGGGGAUUUAUUUCUUCAAGU
RNAcentral lists this ribosomal RNA (497 nucleotides) under uncultured bacterium. RNAcentral describes it as "partial 16S ribosomal RNA". It matches the Rfam family "Bacterial small subunit ribosomal RNA", at positions 355 to 844 of the family's 1533-position model. The record is from RNAcentral.